GUUUAGCCCUGAUUGAAAUGACAUCCUUUUUAUGCUGAACUAGAUUCUAUAUCUGCUAAAUUAAAUAAAUUAGCUUUUAAAUAAGAACAGAUGCUGAAAUAAAUUCAGCAUAAAAAGAUAUAAUGGAAAGCAGGAAAUAGC
RNAcentral lists this small RNA (141 nucleotides) under Polaribacter vadi. Its description in RNAcentral is "Flavo-1 RNA". It matches the Rfam family "Flavo-1 RNA". The record is from Rfam by way of RNAcentral. Lineage: Bacteria; Pseudomonadati; Bacteroidota; Flavobacteriia; Flavobacteriales; Flavobacteriaceae.